RNAcentral lists this ribosomal RNA (473 nucleotides) under uncultured bacterium. RNAcentral's name for it is "bacterial SSU rRNA". It matches the Rfam family "Bacterial small subunit ribosomal RNA", at positions 328 to 793 of the family's 1533-position model. The record is from RNAcentral.
CGCCCAGACUCCUACGGGAGGCAGCAGUGGGGAAUAUUGCACAACGGGCGCAAGCCUGAUGCAGCCAUGCCGCGUGUAUGAAGAAGGCCUUCGGGUUGUAAAGUACUUUCAGCGGGGAGGAAGGUGUUGAGGUUAAUAACCUCAGCAAUUGACGUUACCCGCAGAAGAAGCACCGGCUAACUCCGUGCCAGCAGCCGCGGUAAUACGGAGGGUGCAAGCGUUAAUCGGAAUUACUGGGCGUAAAGCGCACGCAGGCGGUCUGUCAAGUCGGAUGUGAAAUCCCCGGGCUCAACCUGGGAACUGCAUUCGAAACUGGCAGGCUGGAGUCUUGGAGAGGGGGGUAGAAUUCCAGGUGUAGCGGUGAAAUGCGUAGAGAUCUGGAGGAAUACCGGUGGCGAAGGCGGCCCCCUGGACAAAGACUGACGCUCAGGUGCGAAAGCGUGGGGAGCAAACAGGAUUAGAUACCCGAGUAU